Molecule: ribosomal RNA, 483 nt
Filed under: uncultured bacterium
Lineage: Bacteria
Description: partial 16S ribosomal RNA
Rfam family: Bacterial small subunit ribosomal RNA
Source: RNAcentral
GACGAACGCUGGCGGCGUGCUUAACACAUGCAAGUCGAACGCUGAAGCUCAGCUUUUGUUGGGUGGAAGAGUGGCGAACGGGUGAGUAACACGUGAGUAACCUGCCUCCUUCUUUGGGAUAACGCCCGGAAACGGGUGCUAAUACUGGAUAUUCACUGGUCUUCGCAUGGGGGUUGGUGGAAAGGGUUUUUCUGGUGGGGGAUGGGCUCGCGGCCUAUCAGCUUGUUGGUGGGGUGAUGGCCUUCCAAGGCUUUGACGGGUAGCCGGCCUGAGAGGGUGACCGGUCACAUUGGGACUGAGAUACGGCCCAGACUCCUACGGGAGGCAGCAGUGGGGAAUAUUGCACAAUGGGCGCAAGCCUGAUGCAGCGACGCCGCGUGAGGGAUGGAGGCCUUCGGGUUGUGAACCUCUUUCGCUCAUGGUCAAGCCGCAACAAUGGUUGUGGUGAGGGUAGUGGGUAAAGAAGCGCCGGCUAACUACGUG